Molecule: non-coding RNA, 3320 nt
Organism: Physcomitrium patens
Lineage: Eukaryota; Viridiplantae; Streptophyta; Bryopsida; Funariales; Funariaceae
Source: RefSeq, a predicted model, not a curated record
UUUUGGAGCUAGGGAAGGUUUCGGGGCUGGAGGGGAGGGGAGGGAUGAUCGUUGCUCUGGAUCCAUGGCCAACCCCCGAGCACACUCCGCCUGCAAUCUUCUCCACAUUUCUUCACAUACCCUCUGCGGAGUUCGACGCCACCGCUUUCACAUUUUUUUUGUAAGGACGGAGGAUUUUUGCAUGUCGAGGAUUCGGGGGUGGUGUGAGCCUGCCGAUUCGGACACUUCGAGGAUUUGGGAUACAGAGUCACUUCCAGGUCGGCCGAUCAGGGCGAUUCCUCCUCGCUCGUUGGGCUUGCGAGUGAGAGAUCCUGCGCCUCCUGCCGCGGGAUCGGCCAAUCCGCUUGUUGUGGAAGCGUUUGAUGAAUUGGUGCAGUCUAGGGUUGUUACAGUUUUGGCUACAGCGGGCGUUCGAGCCCGAGAAGGCUGUUUCGUAUGUCAUUUCGCAGUGGGAGGUUUCGUGUGAUCGCACUCCGAGCGAGAGAGAAAGAGAGGGAGAAUAUCUGCGGUAAUGUAUAGUUUGAGGCAUGAAGGAAUCAUACAUUGUUGAAAGAGGGGCGAGGCAAGAUUUUUACCUUCUCCUCGAACAUCUUUUAGUGAAUGCGCUUUACUUGAUGGCAAUCUAAUAAUGAAUCGCGAUCGUGUACAAUAUAGAUUUUAAAUUGGUACUAUUCCUGCUUCACACUCAGGUCAGGGUGAGGUUACCUGGCAGGAGUAUGACGUCUGGGGAGCAUAAUAUUCUUACUUUGAACGGGACCUCCAUUGAUGUAAUAUAUUCUUUAGCAUCAAGUGCCUCGACUUUUAGUGCCGAAGGUCGUUUUAUUAAACAGAAUGUAGACCAUCUUCGGACAGUUGUGGUUUGAGAUGUUAUUGCAACUUACUCCGAAGCUGAAAAUAGACACUGACAACAUCCAUCCAUUUUCAGGUCUUAAUAAUUAUUUCACAUGUACGUCCUCGCAGAACUAAGCCAGGGUUGUUCCUUAAACAGUUAGAGGUGUACAGCAUCUCAAGUAACUGCAGCGCUAUGGAGUUCAUCGACCAGAUGCAGCAGCAAUGCAAAAAUGUUGUCCCGCCGCUGGUUGAUGCUGGUACGAAGGCACAUGGGUUGACCUACGGCUAGAGGAUGGAACCUUCUUAUAAUCAGGAGGCUGUUGCCGAAAGUCUAUUGACGCUAAGUUGGGAAGAUUUUGGUAUGUGACGUUCAGGACCAUGUGCCCCCAAAAGCUGGCAGUCUGCUGAAUAUUACAACAAUAAGGAACGCAUUUGCUUCUGUGACCAAUCGUUUGUAGUUUUGCAAAAGAUAAUUUCAGUACGUCAGGCUUUGGAGCCUUGGGUAGUUCAUCCAAACCUGCAUUUGAACUUCUGCAAUUCGCAGUUUUUUUGAGAUUGUCGUAUCUAUCCAUUUGAAGAUGGUGCAACUGCGUUGCAGAGAACUGUAUGUUCCUCAUAUAGCAAAGCUUGGAUUUGCAAGGCCCCUACGGCUAUCGCAUACCUCAUCAUUGAUAGUAUGUAGUGUUUUUUUUGUUAUCUAUGCCAUUUUCUUUACCAUUAACCUUUCAUCUAGCUAAAACAAUACGAGUAAGUUUGAACAAGGUUGUGUUGUCACAUAUUGUAUGAGUGAUUUACAUUGUCCUCACGUCUUGUUGAGUAUUAAAAGAGAAUGCCAUUGCCUUCGACAUCUGUACGAAAUCCGCAAUUAUUUUAAACUGGAAGAUAUUCGCACCCUUGAUGCUCUGUUCUCUUGUAGAGUCUUGCUCCCAGGAUGUCUGGCUACCUUCUUAUUGAAGGAGACGCUCUCGCUAAAGCAUGCUGGAUGCCAACCCCAUUAAAAACAACUCUAAAUUGACUGUUCUGACUUUGCCCAUGCAGGUGUUGACAGUGUGAAUGAAGAACAUUCCAGUUGAAACUAGGCUUACCAUACCAGUCAAGUGAUUAACCUGUAAUUGACACCUGUGAACUGAGGCUGGCCUGAGGAAUGAAAAUUUUCUUUUUAUGCUACUGUAUGGAUGCAAUUUCCUAAUUCACAGUGCAUGCUCAAGACAGUGCAUGUGGGGUGCAAGCGGUAACUUGGAUUCCAAGUAGAACGGUGAGCAGACGGAUUCCGAGUGGAACAAGCGGACCGUAAUGAGAACGGAGCGUCGCGCUCUGUUUCGUCGAGUGGGAACCCAACGACUGUGCGACGCGAAGCCGACGUCGAUGCCUCGUCAGAAUAUGGACGCGAUACGCAACUAAAGUUAGUUUUGUUAGGAUAUAGGUCAUUUGGUAUAGUUCAGUCUACAAUUUUGUAGCUUCAGGAAUCGUAGGAAAGGAAGGAGAACUCGGCGAGUGCAGCCUCGAAAGGCAGGGAUAAUUCUUUCGGCGAAACCUUCGGCACGCGGGAAACGAACACAUCCCUGCAAUAUUGUCCUCGAAAUUUAUACAUCUUUGAAGACCAGAAUGCUGCAGGGAACAAUAAGGUCGGCCAUUCGAACUGCUUGCUGUGUUUACGUCACAGUAUCUAGACCACUGCAUCCACACCACAGCUCCGCCGCAACACAUGCUGUGCGGGUCCCGACUGCUAAUCCAGAAUUUUAAAAACAGUGAAGUUAUUCCACCUAGUCGAUAGUUCCUGAAAUCUCUCCAUCGAUGCAAGGCCGAACUGGCAGGCUUCCCGACUACAUUCAAACGAUCGACUCUACCACGACUGGCGGAACUAGGAGCUAUUCUACCGCUGUGUUCAUACGCGAUUUUGGUUGACGCUGCUCAUGAACACAGGCUGGUCGAUCAAGUUAGAACCUCCACAUGAGUAAGUAAAAAAUGAAAAUAAAAAAAAAAACCACAGCUCAUGAUAGAUUCAUGAGAUGAGGUGAAAUGGUUGGUGGACGUCGAUUGCGGAAGCUGUUAGUGGUGGAAGAGUCACGUUCAUGACACGCAAGCUUCCGGGCGCCCAGAGGAGAGGACGACUGCAUGGUCCAUCGCUGGAGACGAAUAUAUCGAUGAAUUUGAAGGCCCCGAAACUAUGAUAGCCGCAACAAAAAAACACAUAAUGUAUUGUCGCACGCUGUGGCGAGGAUUGAAUCUUCUCGUCGUCCCCUGUUGUGCUGUGCUUCUUCGUCGUGAUUCAGCCAUGGACACAAAAAGUAAAAAGUAUGCUCCACAAUUACCAAAGUCAAAAGCAAACGUUUGCCAAUUCCUUUAAAGUAAAAUCUUUCCUUUUAAAGUAAAAAGCUCGUUUGCAAUAAGCGGAAAGCUUAUGUAAAAAUAAGAAGACAUAAAUAUGGGAUGUGCUGAAUUAAAAUUUGACAAUCAUGAAAAUAUGAAAACUGAAAACAUUAAAGUGU